UCAGAGGGUCGGGCGGCCGCGUCGUGGAAACGUCGAGGAAAGUCCGGGCUCCGCGGAACAACGGUGGCGGGUAACGCCCGCCGGGGGCGACCCCAGGGAAAGUGCCACAGAGAGCAGACGGCCGCGCUUCGGCGCGGUCACGGUGAAAGGGUGCGGCAAGAGCGCACCGCGCGCCUGGUAACAGGGGCGGCACGGCAAACCCCACCGGGAGCAAGAUCGAAUAGGGGCGGCGCGGUACGUUCGCGUGCCAGGGUGUGUUCCCACCCGCUGCCCGGGUUGAUUGCUGGAGCCCGCGUGCGAGCGCGGGCCGAGAGGAAUGGUCGCCUAUCCUUGCCCGCGAGGGUGGGGUGGACAGAACCCGGCUUACAGACCCUCUGACAUC
Molecule: RNase P RNA, 382 nt
Filed under: Sphingomonas palmae
Lineage: Bacteria; Pseudomonadati; Pseudomonadota; Alphaproteobacteria; Sphingomonadales; Sphingomonadaceae
Description: Bacterial RNase P class A
Rfam family: Bacterial RNase P class A
About the family: Ribonuclease P (RNase P) is a ubiquitous endoribonuclease, found in archaea, bacteria and eukarya as well as chloroplasts and mitochondria.
Source: Rfam by way of RNAcentral